AAUUUCUGGCUAUAACUCACAAAUUCCAACUCUAAUUGAGACAAAGCCUCACACAAAUGUCUGGAAGGAUAAAGUGAUGAUGCUUUAUAUCCAAAGGCUUAAAGAUGCUGUUUGUCUGUGUUUAUGUAGAAAACUAAUGAAGGCCAAGGGCCCAGCAGCAGCUAAAGCUGAAGAGGAGAAGAAGAAAGGCCUGGCGCUGUUCGGACCCAAACCGCCGACACCCAAACUGCUGCGAGCCUUCGGAGGAAACAUCAACAAAAACCUCAUUGACAAAAUGAAGAAUGCUGGUGGUCAGUGAGGAUUAUAAUGAGCCUCCUAUGAUUUUCUUUAUAACUCCUUUUUGGGAGUAAAUGUACAGUUUUAUUUUCAGCUUCUUUUGUACAGAGUUUGUUUUCUUUAAUGUUGAGAUUUUCUCUGAGAUGGACUCAUUCAAACAUUUACUAGAAGCCCUACAGCAGCAAGGUUCACUUAAAGCAAGACUGUGAGCUUUAAGAAAAUUAGUUGUAAUCACAAGGAAAUGUACUAAAUGACAAAAAAACACUGGCUUCAACAAACACUGAGAAAUGUAUUUAGUGCAAUAUUAGGAUCCAGACACUCUCUACUGCCCCUAGUGGACACUGCAUGAUAUAUAUUCUGUCAUUUUACAUACUGUAUAUAUAUUUUUUCAGUUUCAGUUGUAAAAGCCAAACAGAGAUUAUCUGUAAUUAUCAGAAAAUUGUGACAGUAUAUAAAAGUUGACUAAUUUUAUGCCCAUCUAUAUCUGCUAAAAUAAAUAAUUACCUGAUUUAAUUGCAUUUUCCUC
Amphiprion ocellaris (clown anemonefish) is the source of this 802-nucleotide long non-coding RNA. The record is from Ensembl. NCBI's taxonomy places the organism in Eukaryota, Metazoa, Chordata, Actinopteri, Pomacentridae.